RNAcentral lists this ribosomal RNA (451 nucleotides) under uncultured bacterium. RNAcentral describes it as "partial 16S ribosomal RNA". It matches the Rfam family "Bacterial small subunit ribosomal RNA", at positions 29 to 523 of the family's 1533-position model. The record is from RNAcentral.
AGCGAACGCUGGCGGCGGGCUUAACACAUGCAAGUCGAGCGGGCAUAGCAAUAUGUCAGCGGCAGACGGGUGAGUAACGCGUGGGAACGUACCUUUUGGUUCGGAACAACACAGGGAAACUUGUGCUAAUACCGGAUAAGCCCUUACGGGGAAAGAUUUAUCGCCGAAAGAUCGGCCCGCGUCUGAUUAGCUAGUUGGUGGGGUAAAGGCCCACCAAGGCGACGAUCAGUAGCUGGUCUGAGAGGAUGAUCAGCCACAUUGGGACUGAGACACGGCCCAAACUCCUACGGGAGGCAGCAGUGGGGAAUAUUGGACAAUGGGGGCAACCCUGAUCCAGCCAUGCCGCGUGAGUGAUGAAGGCCCUAGGGUUGUAAAGCUCUUUUGUGCGGGAAGAUAAUGACGGUACCGCAAGAAUAAGCCCCGGCUAACUUCGUGCCAGCAGCCGCCGUAA